AAAUUGAAGAGUUUGAUCAUGGCUCAGAUUGAACGCUGGCGGCAGGCCUAACACAUGCAAGUCGAACGGUAACAGGAAGCAGCUUGCUGCUUCGCUGACGAGUGGCGGACGGGUGAGUAAUGUCUGGGAAACUGCCUGAUGGAGGGGGAUAACUACUGGAAACGGUGGCUAAUACCGCAUAACGUCGCAAGACCAAAGAGGGGGACCUUCGGGCCUCUUGCCAUCAGAUGUGCCCAGAUGGGAUUAGCUUGUUGGUGAGGUAACGGCUCACCAAGGCGACGAUCCCUAGCUGGUCUGAGAGGAUGACCAGCCACACUGGAACUGAGACACGGUCCAGACUCCUACGGGAGGCAGCAGUGG
RNAcentral lists this ribosomal RNA (360 nucleotides) under Salmonella enterica. Its description in RNAcentral is "bacterial SSU rRNA". It matches the Rfam family "Bacterial small subunit ribosomal RNA", at positions 1 to 357 of the family's 1533-position model. The record is from RNAcentral. Lineage: Bacteria; Pseudomonadati; Pseudomonadota; Gammaproteobacteria; Enterobacterales; Enterobacteriaceae.